This 73-nucleotide transfer RNA is filed under the name Phycisphaerae bacterium. RNAcentral's name for it is "tRNA-Gln". It matches the Rfam family "tRNA". From Rfam's summary of the family: Transfer RNA (tRNA) molecules are approximately 80 nucleotides in length. Their secondary structure includes four short double-helical elements and three loops (D, anti-codon, and T loops). Lineage: Bacteria; Pseudomonadati; Planctomycetota; Phycisphaerae. The record is from RNAcentral. RNAcentral also lists the same sequence under 2 other names.
UGGGCUGUAGUUCAAUUGGUAGAACGCCUGACUCUGGAUCAGGAGGUUGCAGGUUCGAGUCCUGCCAGCCCAG